ACUAGCAGUAAGAGUUUGAUCAUGGCUCAGAGCGAACGCUGGCGGCAGGCCUAAUACAUGCAAGUCGAACGCACCUUCGGGUGAGUGGCGGACGGGUGAGUAACGCGUGGGAACGUGCCCUUUGGUUCGGAACAACACAGGGAAACUUGUGCUAAUACCGAAUGUGCCCUUCGGGGGAAAGAUUUAUCGCCAUUGGAGCGGCCCGCGUUGGAUUAGCUAGUUGGUGGGGUAAAGGCCCACCAAGGCGACGAUCCAUAGCUGGUCUGAGAGGAUGAUCAGCCACACUGGGACUGAGACACGGCCCAGACUCCUACGGGAGGCAGCAGUAGGGAAUCUUGCGCAAUGGGCGAAAGCCUGACGCAGCCAUGCCGCGUGAAUGAUGAAGGUCUUAGGAUUGUAAAAUUCUUUCACCGGGGAAGAUAAUGACGGUACCCGGAGAAGAAGCCCCGGCUAACUUCGUGCCAGCCGCCGCGGUAAUAC
This 480-nucleotide ribosomal RNA is filed under the name uncultured bacterium. Its description in RNAcentral is "bacterial SSU rRNA". It matches the Rfam family "Bacterial small subunit ribosomal RNA", at positions 1 to 526 of the family's 1533-position model. The record is from RNAcentral.